GUUGGUGUAGCAAAUCACCACCUUGCACUGGAGGUACACGGAUUCUGAGGCCCGCAAGAACUGGAAGGCCUUAAAUCUGAAUCGUACAUAGUAACUGCUGGUGCUCCAGACCUGAAAGGUGCUGUCCAUAUUACACCUAAAGGCAGGCGCUGUAGUCCACCUGGUUGGAGAAACGCAGCACCAAAGCAUCUAAAAGGUGGAUGCCUGCUGAUUUUCACUCACUCCAGGAAUGUGAACUCCAGGAAGAUCUGUUGGUCGUGUGAUGUCCUGAGGACCGUGCUACAGUAAGUGUUGCUGUCGUAGUAGUUGGGAUGGUUUGGGCUGGUGAAGAUG
Cynoglossus semilaevis (tongue sole) is the source of this 333-nucleotide long non-coding RNA. RefSeq lists it as uncharacterized. The record is from RefSeq and is a predicted model, not a curated record. The transcript is spliced from 3 exons. Lineage: Eukaryota; Metazoa; Chordata; Actinopteri; Pleuronectiformes; Cynoglossidae.